Molecule: ribosomal RNA, 1399 nt
Filed under: Vibrio owensii LMG 25430
Lineage: Bacteria; Pseudomonadati; Pseudomonadota; Gammaproteobacteria; Vibrionales; Vibrionaceae
Description: bacterial SSU rRNA
Rfam family: Bacterial small subunit ribosomal RNA
Source: RNAcentral
UUGCCCUGAUGUGGGGGAUAACCAUUGGAAACGAUGGCUAAUACCGCAUAAUGCCUACGGGCCAAAGAGGGGGACCUUCGGGCCUCUCGCGUCAGGAUAUGCCUAGGUGGGAUUAGCUAGUUGGUGAGGUAAUGGCUCACCAAGGCGACGAUCCCUAGCUGGUCUGAGAGGAUGAUCAGCCACACUGGAACUGAGACACGGUCCAGACUCCUACGGGAGGCAGCAGUGGGGAAUAUUGCACAAUGGGCGCAAGCCUGAUGCAGCCAUGCCGCGUGUGUGAAGAAGGCCUUCGGGUUGUAAAGCACUUUCAGUCGUGAGGAAGGUAGUGUAGUUAAUAGCUGCAUUAUUUGACGUUAGCGACAGAAGAAGCACCGGCUAACUCCGUGCCAGCAGCCGCGGUAAUACGGAGGGUGCGAGCGUUAAUCGGAAUUACUGGGCGUAAAGCGCAUGCAGGUGGUUUGUUAAGUCAGAUGUGAAAGCCCGGGGCUCAACCUCGGAAUAGCAUUUGAAACUGGCAGACUAGAGUACUGUAGAGGGGGGUAGAAUUUCAGGUGUAGCGGUGAAAUGCGUAGAGAUCUGAAGGAAUACCGGUGGCGAAGGCGGCCCCCUGGACAGAUACUGACACUCAGAUGCGAAAGCGUGGGGAGCAAACAGGAUUAGAUACCCUGGUAGUCCACGCCGUAAACGAUGUCUACUUGGAGGUUGUGGCCUUGAGCCGUGGCUUUCGGAGCUAACGCGUUAAGUAGACCGCCUGGGGAGUACGGUCGCAAGAUUAAAACUCAAAUGAAUUGACGGGGGCCCGCACAAGCGGUGGAGCAUGUGGUUUAAUUCGAUGCAACGCGAAGAACCUUACCUACUCUUGACAUCCAGAGAACUUUCCAGAGAUGGAUUGGUGCCUUCGGGAACUCUGAGACAGGUGCUGCAUGGCUGUCGUCAGCUCGUGUUGUGAAAUGUUGGGUUAAGUCCCGCAACGAGCGCAACCCUUAUCCUUGUUUGCCAGCGAGUAAUGUCGGGAACUCCAGGGAGACUGCCGGUGAUAAACCGGAGGAAGGUGGGGACGACGUCAAGUCAUCAUGGCCCUUACGAGUAGGGCUACACACGUGCUACAAUGGCGCAUACAGAGGGCAGCAAGCUAGCGAUAGUGAGCGAAUCCCAAAAAGUGCGUCGUAGUCCGGAUUGGAGUCUGCAACUCGACUCCAUGAAGUCGGAAUCGCUAGUAAUCGUGGAUCAGAAUGCCACGGUGAAUACGUUCCCGGGCCUUGUACACACCGCCCGUCACACCAUGGGAGUGGGCUGCAAAAGAAGUAGGUAGUUUAACCUUCGGGAGGACGCUUACCACUUUGUGGUUCAUGACUGGGGUGAAGUCGUAACAAGGUAGCGCUAGGGGAACCUGGCGCUG